Molecule: ribosomal RNA, 389 nt
Filed under: uncultured bacterium
Lineage: Bacteria
Description: bacterial SSU rRNA
Rfam family: Bacterial small subunit ribosomal RNA
Source: RNAcentral
GACGAACGCUGGCGGCGUGCUUAACACAUGCAAGUCGAGCGGUAAGGCCCUUUCGGGGGUACACGAGCGGCGAACGGGUGAGUAACACGUGGGUGACCUGCCCUCAGCUCUGGGAUAAGCCUGGGAAACCGGGUCUAAUACCGGAUAUGACUCCACGACGCAUGUUGUGGGGUGGAAAGCCUUGUGCGGCUGAGGAUGGGCCCGCGGCCUAUCAGCUUGUUGGUGGGGUGAUGGCCUACCAAGGCGACGACGGGUAGCCGGCCUGGGAGGGCGACCGGCCACACUGGGACUGAGACACGGCCCAGACUCCUACGGGAGGCAGCAGUGGGGAAUCUUGCGCAAUGGGCGAAAGCCUGACGCAGCGACGCCGCGUGAGGGAUGACGGCCUC